This is a non-coding RNA of Acanthosepion pharaonis, 108 nucleotides long. The record is from the annotation of a GenBank genome assembly. NCBI's taxonomy places the organism in Eukaryota, Metazoa, Mollusca, Cephalopoda, Sepiida, Sepiidae.
CCACACCACGUUGAAACACUCAUUCCUGUAAGAUCACCAAAGUUAAGCAACACUGAGCCUAGUCAGUACCUAGAUGGGUGACUCCUUGGGAAUACCAGGUGCUGUAAG